AAGUCGUAACAAGGUCUCCGUUGGUGAACCAGCGGAGGGAUCAUUAGCGAGUUUCAAACUCCCAACCCUCGUGGACAUACCAAACGUUGCUUCGGCGGGGCGCUCUAAAGCGUAGCCUCUCUCGGGAGGCACCCGCCGGCCGCACGCACCAAACUCUGUUUUAUAGUCGUAUUCUGAGUAGACUACAAAUAAGUCAAAACUUUCAGCAACGGAUCUCUUGGUUCUGGCAUCGAUGAAGAACGCAGCGAAAUGCGAUAAGUAAUGUGAAUUGCAGAAUUCAGUGAAUCAUCGAAUCUUUGAACGCACAUUGCGCCCGCUAGUAUUCUGGCGGGCAUGCCUGUUCGAGCGUCCUUUGGACCCUCGGGCCCGGGUGACUUUGUCCCCUGCGGCCCGGUGUUGGGGACCCGCGGCUGCCGCGGCCCCCUAAAGACAGUGGCGGACUUCUUUACAGCCCUGGCGCAGUAGCACAUCUCGCCUUCGGUUAUAGAGUAUGUCUUGCCCCCAGCACCAUACUUACAAAGCUGGACCUCGAAUCAGGUAGGAAUACCCGCUGAACUUAAGCAUAUCAAUAAGCGGAGGAAAAGAAACCAACAGGGAUUGCCCUAGUAACGGCGAGUGAAGCGGCAACAGCUCAAAUUUGAAAUCUGGCCUUGUGCCCGAGUUGUAAUUUGCAGAGGCCCGUUGGGCGCGGUAACUGCUGGAGUCCCCUGGAAUGGGGCGCCACAGAGGGUGAGAGCCCCGUACGGCAGUAGUCUAAGCCCAUGUAUCGGACCCUCGAC
Molecule: small RNA, 779 nt
Filed under: uncultured Sordaria
Lineage: Eukaryota; Fungi; Ascomycota; Sordariomycetes; Sordariales; Sordariaceae
Description: eukaryotic LSU rRNA
Rfam family: Eukaryotic large subunit ribosomal RNA (bases 524-779)
Source: RNAcentral